AGAGGGGGACUUUAUACAAAAGCAUCUCUCCCUGUCCUCAGCGGACACGGUGGGGGCGUUCAGGGACACAGGCAUGGGAAAGGGCUCUGAUUUGAUGGUUUGGGGGAGGAGGGAGACCUCCCCAGGAGUGCCCCACCUCUCCCCGGGACACGGGCUGGGGGCAGAGAGGGUAAAUGAUUUCAGUAAAAUGCUGAGAGAAUGGAACUGGGAUGGGGAGGCAGUCUGGUUUGGGGAAGCGUGAAAUCUUUACGGGAGUGUCGUUAUCAGGACAGAAGCGGGGGUGCAUUCUUGUAAUACAAGCUUUGGGAAAUGACGGGGUUGAGGGGCGGCGAUGCCUCUCCAGCAGUACCUCACCCCCUUCACUCCACCUUGGCCCCAGGAGAAGCCGAGUUCAGGGGUAGAAGCUGGAGGAAGAAAGGGCACUCGCACCUAGGUGCAGGGGAGCAGGCUUUCACGUUUGGGGGCUGAAGAGGUGCAAGGGAGAGGGGAGUGUAGCACGUCAUUGCGUUCAGCUGCGGGUAGGGGAGUCGGGAUUGGACAAGGGCAAGGCUUCUGGAACGCACACCUCUUUCUUCCCAAUGCCUAGGGCCCCUCCCCGGGAGCAGCUGGCUGGUGAGGGAAACUGACUCCACACCCCAACUCCCAGGGCAGAGCUGCUGUGACUGGAGUACCAAAAGCGAAAAGGGGGUAGUUAAUGAUUAACGAACGAAAUUGUCGUCUCCCUCCCCCAUCCCCAGCCAAGUCCGCUCGACUCUAGCCUUGGGGGAGAGGGCGCCUUCAUUUGCUCCCUAGGAACCUCUAUGUCCUUUCAUGCUCCACGGCCUCCUAGCCCCUUCCAAGCCAAGACUGGGCCUUUCCCCCCACUCCCCCCCCCAUAGCUCCGGAGGGAGGGGGAAUGGGAGGAGUAGUCAAGCUGAUGUUCUAUUGGCUGGAGCUAUCCCCCACAAGAGAGGGGCAGUCAUCCACCCAAGGUCACACAAGCAUGUUGGGAAAUUAAGCCAUGUCUGCCAAUUCCCUGUUGAGGGUAGGUUCCUAACCUGUUUUAGCUACUAUAGGGACCUCCCCAAGAGACCUCAGCAUAGUCAGAGUCCUGUCUGAAAGGAAGGAAGUUCCCAAGGACAAAAUAGCCCCUUCCAAUCCAGGACAGGCAGCUGGAAGGGAGCACGGAACCAGGUUGUGAUGACAGUGAACUUGGAGUCAGGAGAGGUGGGAUCAGACCCUAGCUCCAACCCUUACUUACUUCCUGACUUGGGGCAGGACAAUUUGGUCUCCAUUACCUCCACUGUAAAACCGGGAUAAUGAUCCUUGCACACAAUUUACCUCACCAUCCUUAGAAUAACUUUGUUGUGAGGAAAGCUUUUUGCAAGACUUGGACAACUGUAGACAUGAAAGCUGAUACCAUCUUUGCUCAGUGGGCAUCAGGUAUAAGGAAGACUCUUAAACCCAUUUCAGGAAGGCAUUGAUGUCCUUGGAACAGGUGCUAGAAAAACUCACUAGGAGAGAGGUGACCAGAAGGAAGAGGAAAGCAGCCCCAGCCAGUCUCCUUUUGCCUCUGGGGCCUUCAGUCUCCCUAGCAAGAUUUGUACUGUGAAAGGGCCUUCACCUCCAGGGACCCUUUACCCCCAUGGCAAGCCAAGCCUCACAGAACAUCACAGAGCUGUCCUGGGCCCAUUCACAUUGCUAGGGAAUCAAGGGAGACCAGAAAGCUGCACUAUAUCCAGUCAGUCAUGGAAUAGUAGACCUAUGAGGGCCCUUAAGAAGAUAGAAUGUCAGAAUUGGAGGAGCCCUCAGAAUAUGGGAUAUUAGAGCUGGAAGAUACCUUAGAACAUAGAACGUCAGAACUGGAA
Phascolarctos cinereus (koala) is the source of this 1847-nucleotide long non-coding RNA. Lineage: Eukaryota; Metazoa; Chordata; Mammalia; Diprotodontia; Phascolarctidae. The record is from Ensembl.